Molecule: small nuclear RNA, 106 nt
Organism: Cebus imitator (Panamanian white-faced capuchin)
Lineage: Eukaryota; Metazoa; Chordata; Mammalia; Primates; Cebidae
Source: Ensembl
GUGCUCCCUUUGGCAGCACAUGUACUAAAAUUGGAACAAUACAGAGAGGAUUAGCAUGGUCCCUGGCAAGGAUGACAUGAAAAUUCGUGAAGCAUUCUUUUUUUUU